RNAcentral lists this long non-coding RNA (1093 nucleotides) under Mus caroli (Ryukyu mouse). RNAcentral describes it as "lncRNA (MGP_CAROLIEiJ_G0003876.1)". The record is from RNAcentral. Lineage: Eukaryota; Metazoa; Chordata; Mammalia; Rodentia; Muridae.
CUGCCGUCCUGUUGAAGCUGCGCAAGAACACCGAGUCUUCAGAGACUCGGGACUGAUGAAUGAGGACAGAAUAAUACUGGCCUGGCAAGAAAACCCCAGAGUACCCUAGAACAGAGAUGGCAGCCCUUCUCCUAAUCGCUCCUGGGUUGUGCCACUGAGGGAGAGAGGGUGAAGACACACAGAGCAAUCAGGGUAGGGGGAGACCCUGAGGCCCCUCCGCCAGGAAGAGUUAACAGCAGCAGGCAUUACCUUUCUUCCCAGGAUUUGGUUAAUGGCUGCACUUUCCUUCAGGGAGGCAGAGGCAAGUGGAUAUCUGAGUUUGAGGCCAGCCUGGUCUACAGAGUGAGUUCCAGGACAGCCAGGGCUAUACAGAGAAACUCUUGUCUUGAAAAACCAAAACAAACAAACAAAAAAAACCAAACCAACCAAACAAAAAAGGAUCAAGGAACCCCACCACCCUGCUACUAACCUAUAGGUGACUGGUUGGCUUAUGGCCAGAAGUGGCAGUCACUAAUAUCCCUGGGCUUUGACAUCAUUUUGGCAGCCCCAGCCUGAGGACUCACCUAGACAUUGAAGCGUUCAUGGCGAGGGCAGGCUGUCCCCAGGAGCUUGAUGACCACAGCAAAGGCUGAGGCCACCAGUCAGGAAUGCACAGCCUCAAGUGGACAACCUCAGUACAAGUCGUAGGAGCCACACGGGCUUGCUCAGCAAGGAAUGCCAUCCGAAACAGCCAAAUCCUUCCAGCAAGCUACGUAGGUCGAGCACCUUCUCAGCCCAGGAUUGCUCAGGUGUUCAUGCACACCAGAAGAGGGAAUCAGAUUCCAUUUUGCAUGGUUGUGAGCCACCUUGUGGCUGCUGUGAAUUCAACUCAGGAGAGCAGCCAGCACUCUUAACUGCGGAGUCAUCUCUCCAGCACCCUGUUUUGUUUUGUUUUUCCCUUAACCUGAUCAGAAACCAGUUGCAUGGGAUUGAUCGCUCAGGAGAGUAGACCCUUCCCUUCUACUGUCAAUCAUGAUGGAGUCCUGGACUUGACAAUGGCUGCCCAGGAAAUCACCCAACAUUUCAGUAGACAACUAACAAUGCUAUUCAGAAU